This 270-nucleotide ribosomal RNA is filed under the name uncultured bacterium. RNAcentral's name for it is "partial 16S ribosomal RNA". It matches the Rfam family "Bacterial small subunit ribosomal RNA", at positions 84 to 353 of the family's 1533-position model. The record is from RNAcentral.
UUUGAUGGCGACCGGCGCACGGGUGAGUAACACGUAUCCAACCUGCCGAUGACUCGGGGAUAGCCUUUCGAAAGAAAGAUUAAUACCCGAUGGCAUAGUUCUUCCGCAUGGUGGAACUAUUAAAGAAUUUCGGUCAUCGAUGGGGAUGCGUUCCAUUAGGUUGUUGGCGGGGUAACGGCCCACCAAGCCCUCGAUGGAUAGGGGUUCUGAGAGGAAGGUCCCCCACAUUGGAACUGAGACACGGUCCAAACUCCUACGGGAGGCAGCAUG